RNAcentral lists this ribosomal RNA (289 nucleotides) under Blastocystis sp. Its description in RNAcentral is "partial small subunit ribosomal RNA". It matches the Rfam family "Eukaryotic small subunit ribosomal RNA", at positions 42 to 348 of the family's 1831-position model. Lineage: Eukaryota; Bigyra; Opalinata; Blastocystidae. The record is from RNAcentral.
GAUUAAGCCAUGCAUGUGUAAGUGUAAAUAUACUAGUUUGGAACUGCGAAUGGCUCAUUAUAUCAGUUAUAGUUUAUUUGGUGAAGUGUACUACUUGGAUAACCGUAGUAAUUCUAGGGCUAAUACAUGAGAAAGUCCUCUGGUGAGGUGUGUUUAUUAGAAUGAAAACCAUAUGCUUCGGCAUGAUAGUGAGUAAUAGUAACCUAUCGUAUCGCAUGCUUAAUGUAGCGAUGAGUCUUUCAAGUUUCUGCCCUAUCAGCUUUCGAUGGUAGCAUAUGGGUCUACCAUG